GUCCACGCCCUCAACGAUGCAUACUAGGUAUUGGCAGUAUCGACCCUGCCAGUGCCGUUUAAAAAGCUAACGCGUUAAGUAUGCCGCCUGGGAAGUACGGUCGCAAGACUAAAACUCAAAGGAAUAGACGGGGACCCGCACAAGCGGUGGAUUAUGUGGUUUAAUUUGAUGAUAAGCAGAGAACCUUACCUGGGCUCAACUACUAGCUGCAUAGGACCAGAAAUUGACCUAGCCUUCGAGGGUGCUAGAUAGGUGCUGCAUGGUUGCCGU
This 270-nucleotide ribosomal RNA is filed under the name uncultured bacterium. Its description in RNAcentral is "partial 16S ribosomal RNA". It matches the Rfam family "Bacterial small subunit ribosomal RNA", at positions 793 to 1055 of the family's 1533-position model. The record is from RNAcentral.